This 339-nucleotide unclassified non-coding RNA is filed under the name soil metagenome. RNAcentral's name for it is "partial contains 5.8S ribosomal RNA, internal transcribed spacer 2, and large subunit ribosomal RNA". The stretch from base 1 to 120 matches the Rfam family "5.8S ribosomal RNA", at positions 35 to 154 of the family's 154-position model. The record is from RNAcentral.
GAUGAAGAACGUAGCGAAAUGCGAUAAGUAAUGUGAAUUGCAGAACUCAGUGAAUCAUCGAAUCUUUGAACGCAACUUGCGCCCUCUGGUAUUCCGGAGGGCAUGCCUGUUUGAGUGUCAUGUAGACUCAAUCCCUCGGGUUUCUGAGGAGGUUGGAUUUGGGUGCUUGCCUUCUGGCUCGCCUUAAAGGACUUAGCAGGAUAGCACUGUAGUCGACGUAAUAAGUCUCGUCGGUGAAAGUGUGAUGUCUGCUUACAGAUUGCCCUUGGGCACUUUUGACUCUGACCUCAAAUCAGGUAGGACUACCCGCUGAACUUAAGCAUAUCAAUAAGCGGAGGA